Molecule: ribosomal RNA, 373 nt
Filed under: uncultured organism
Description: partial 16S ribosomal RNA
Rfam family: Bacterial small subunit ribosomal RNA
Source: RNAcentral
GUAGGUGGCAAGCGUUGUCCGGAAUUAUUGGGCGUAAAGCGCGCGCAGGCGGUCCUUUAAGUCUGAUGUGAAAGCCCACGGCUCAACCGUGGAGGGUCAUUGGAAACUGGGGGACUUGAGUACAGAAGAGGAAAGCGGAAUUCCAAGUGUAGCGGUGAAAUGCGUAGAGAUUUGGAGGAACACCAGUGGCGAAGGCGGCUUUCUGGUCUGUAACUGACGCUGAGGCGCGAAAGCGUGGGGAGCAAACAGGGAUUAGAUACCCUGGUAGUCCACGCCGUAAGCGAUGAGUGCUAAGUGUUAGGGGGUUUCCGCCCCCUUAGUGCUGCAGCUAACGCAUUAAGCACUCCGCCUGGGGAGUACGGCCGCAAGGCUG